AGGAAAUAUGGAACGAGACGAGCAGCGAAACAGUUUGCGAGAAGAUAUUCUGCAGCGAGACGGGAGAUGAGGUUAGGAAAAUAGCGCGCGAGACCGCGGCACGUCGAAAAUGUCGGAGGGAAUACGUAGGACCAGCAGAUUCAAAAUAAAAAAUACAGCUUAGCAGUGUUAAGUUGACCAACGAGAAAUCCUGACACUUUAAUUCACAGUCGACCGCGCAUUUGACAUUACGAGAAAAAAAUAAACACGACCCGAUUACCUUUCUGCGACGAGGAAAUACAAUGGAAAUACGAGGAAAUACACGAGGAAAUAUCCGGAAAAACAAUUCGGGACCUGCGGAAGAUCAGCGAGGUCCGUCGAUAGCUGCCGUACUUUCUCACCGAGACGCAGGAAUCCUCGCUGGGAAAUCGCGAAAG
RNA transcript from Monomorium pharaonis (pharaoh ant), 416 nucleotides. RefSeq lists it as uncharacterized. The record is from RefSeq and is a predicted model, not a curated record. NCBI's taxonomy places the organism in Eukaryota, Metazoa, Arthropoda, Insecta, Hymenoptera, Formicidae. The transcript has 3 exons.